RNAcentral lists this ribosomal RNA (253 nucleotides) under uncultured bacterium. RNAcentral describes it as "partial 16S ribosomal RNA". It matches the Rfam family "Bacterial small subunit ribosomal RNA", at positions 524 to 776 of the family's 1533-position model. The record is from RNAcentral.
UACGUAGGGGGCAAGCGUUGUCCGGAUUUAUUGGGCGUAAAGAGCGUGUAGGCGGCUUUGCAAGUCCGUUGUGAAAACUCGAGGCUCAACCUCGAGACGCCGGUGGAAACUGCAAAGCUAGAGUCCGGAAGAGGAGAGUGGAAUUCCUGGUGUAGCGGUGAAAUGCGCAGAUAUCAGGAGGAACACCGGUGGCGAAGGCGGAUCUCUGGGCCUUACCUGACGCUGAGGCGCGAAAGCUAGGGGAGCAAACAGG